Molecule: ribosomal RNA, 492 nt
Filed under: uncultured bacterium
Lineage: Bacteria
Description: partial 16S ribosomal RNA
Rfam family: Bacterial small subunit ribosomal RNA
Source: RNAcentral
GAUGAACGCUGGCGGCGUGCUUAACACAUGCAAGUCGAACGAUGAAGCUUCCAGCUUGCUGGGGGUGGAUUAGUGGCGAACGGGUGAGUAUCACGUGAGUAACCUGCCCUUGACUUCAGGAUAAGCCCGGGAAACUGGGUCUAAUACUGGAUAUGCCCAAUCCCUGCAUGGGGUGUUGGGGGAAAGAUUGUAUCGGUUGUGGAUGGACUCGCGGCCUAUCAGCUUGACGGUGAGGUAGUGGCUCACCGUGGCGAUGACGGGUAGCCGGCCUGAGAGGGUGACCGGCCACACUGGGACUGAGACACGGCCCAGACUCCUACGGGAGGCAGCAGUGGGGAAUAUUGCACAAUGGGCGCAAGCCUGAUUCAGCGACGCCGCGUGCGGGAUGACGGCCUUCGGGUUGUAAACCGCUUUCAGCAUAGAAGAAGCCCUUCGGGGUGACGGUAUAUGCAGAAGAAGCGCCGGCUAACUACGUGCCAGCCGCCGCCGUAA